RNAcentral lists this transfer RNA (76 nucleotides) under Chromatiales bacterium. RNAcentral's name for it is "tRNA-Asn". It matches the Rfam family "tRNA". Rfam says of the family: Transfer RNA (tRNA) molecules are approximately 80 nucleotides in length. The record is from RNAcentral. RNAcentral also lists the same sequence under 1 other name. Lineage: Bacteria; Pseudomonadati; Pseudomonadota; Gammaproteobacteria; Chromatiales.
UCCCCGGUAGCUCAGUUGGUAGAGCGGAUGACUGUUAAUCAUUAGGUCCGUGGUUCGAGUCCACGCCGGGGAGCCA